UCAUAUGCUUGUCUCAAAGAUUAAGCCAUGCAUGUCUAAGUACAAGCCUCACUAAGGUGAAACCGCGAAUGGCUCAUUAAAUCACACCUAAUCUACUGGAUAGUUAACAGUUACUUGGAUAACUGCGGUAAUUCUGGAGCUAAUACAUGCACAAAUCCCCGAACUUAAGUGAGGGGAGCUUUUAUUAGAUCAAAACCAAACGGCUUCGGCUGUUCUCUUGGUGACUCUGAAUAACUUUGAGCUGAUCGCAUAGCCUAGCGCUGGCGACAUAUCCUUCGAAGGUGUGCCCUAUCAACUGUCGACUGUGGCAUAGACGCCCACAGUGGUUUUGACGGGUAACGGGGAAUCAGGGUUCGAUUCCGGAGAGGGAGCCUUAAAAACGGCUACCACAUCUAAGGAAGGCAGCAGGCACGCAAAUUACCCAAUGACCGAAGGUCGAGGUAGUGACGAAAAAUAACGAUACAGGACUCAUCUGAGAGCCCUGUAAUCGGAAUGAGUACACUUUAAAACCGUCCCCGAGGAUCUAUUGGAGGGCAAGUCUGGUGCCAGCAGCCGCGGUAAUUCCAGCUCCAAUAGCGUAUAUUAAAUUUGUUGUGGUUGAAAAGCUCGUAGUUGGAUCUCGGCGGUCUGAGGGCGGUUCACUUGCUAGUGCUACUGCCCUAUAGACCGUAGUUUUGCCAGAGGUCUCAGGGUGCUCUUAAUCGAGUGUCUUGUGAUGCUGGCAGGUUUACUUUGAAAAAAUUAGAGUGCUCAAGGCAGGCUGUUACGCCUGAAUAUUCGUGCAUGGAAUAAUAGAAUAGGAAGUCGUUUCUAUUUUGUUGGUUUUCGGAAAUCGACUUAAUGAAUAAUAGGGACAGUUGGGGGC
This 865-nucleotide ribosomal RNA is filed under the name Scaphocalanus magnus. RNAcentral's name for it is "SSU rRNA". It matches the Rfam family "Eukaryotic small subunit ribosomal RNA", at positions 24 to 889 of the family's 1831-position model. Lineage: Eukaryota; Metazoa; Arthropoda; Copepoda; Calanoida; Scolecitrichidae. The record is from RNAcentral.